RNAcentral lists this ribosomal RNA (795 nucleotides) under uncultured cyanobacterium. Its description in RNAcentral is "bacterial SSU rRNA". It matches the Rfam family "Bacterial small subunit ribosomal RNA", at positions 35 to 873 of the family's 1533-position model. The record is from RNAcentral. Lineage: Bacteria; Bacillati; Cyanobacteriota.
GCUGGCGGUAUGCUUAACACAUGCAAGUCGAACGGUGUCUUCGGACAUAGUGGCGGACGGGUGAGUAACGCGUGAGAAUCUGGCUUCAGGAUGGGGACAACAGUUGGAAACGACUGCUAAGACCCGAUGUGCCUUAGGGUGAAAUAUUUAUAGCCUGAAGAUGAGCUCGCGUCUGAUUAGCUAGUUGGGGAGGUAAAGGCUCACCAAGGCAGCGAUCAGUAGCUGGUCUGAGAGGAUGACCAGCCACACUGGGACUGAGACACGGCCCAGACUCCUACGGGAGGCAGCAGUGGGGAAUUUUCCGCAAUGGGCGAAAGCCUGACGGAGCAAUACCGCGUGAGGGAGGAAGGCUCUUGGGUUGUAAACCUCUUUUCUUAGGGAAGAAAAAAAUGACGGUACCUAAGGAAUAAGCAUCGGCUAACUCCGUGCCAGCAGCCGCGGUAAUACGGAGGAUGCAAGCGUUAUCCGGAAUGAUUGGGCGUAAAGCGUCCGCAGGUGGCGAUUCAAGUCGAUUGUCAAAGGUCUCGGCUCAACUGAGAACAGGCAGUGGAAACUGAACAGCUAGAGUGCGGUAGGGGUAGAGGGAAUUCCCGGUGUAGCGGUGAAAUGCGUAGAGAUCGGGAAGAACACCAGUGGCGAAAGCGCUCUACUAGACCGCAACUGACACUCAGGGACGAAAGCUAGGGGAGCGAAUGGGAUUAGAUACCCCAGUAGUCCUAGCCGUAAACGAUGGAUACUAGGCGUUGCUUGUAUCGACCCAAGCAGUGCCGUAGCUAACGCGUUAAGUAUCCCGCC